AGCGUGCGGGCGAUACGGGCAGACUUGAGUACUGCAGGGGAGACUGGAAUUCCUGGUGUAGCGGUGGAAUGCGCAGAUAUCAGGAGGAACACCGGUGGCGAAGGCGGGUCUCUGGGCAGUAACUGACGCUGAGGAGCGAAAGCGUGGGGAGCGAACAGGAUUAGAUACCCUGGUAGUCCACGCCGUAAACGGUGGGUACUAGGUGUGGGUUUCCUUCCUUGGGAUCCGUGCCGUAGCUAACGCAUUAAGUACCCCGCCUGGGGAGUACGGCCGCAAGGCUAAAACUCAAAGAAAUUGACGGGGGCCCGCACAAGCGGCGGAGCAUGUGGAUUAAUUCGAUGCAACGCGAAGAACCUUACCUGGGUUUGACAUGCACAGGACGCCGGCAGAGAUGUCGGUUCCCUUGUGGCCUGUGUGCAGGUGGUGCAUGGCUGUCGUCAGCUCGUGUCGUGAGAUGUUGGGUUAAGUCCCGCAACGAGCGCAACCCUUGUCUCAUGUUGCCAGCGGGUAAUGCCGGGGACUCGUGAGAGACUGCCGGGGUCAACUCGGAGGAAGGUGGGGAUGACGUCAAGUCAUCAUGCCCCUUAUGUCCAGGGCUUCACACAUGCUACAAUGGCCGGUACAAAGGGCUGCGAUGCC
RNAcentral lists this ribosomal RNA (639 nucleotides) under uncultured bacterium. RNAcentral describes it as "bacterial SSU rRNA". It matches the Rfam family "Bacterial small subunit ribosomal RNA", at positions 618 to 1256 of the family's 1533-position model. The record is from RNAcentral.